RNAcentral lists this transfer RNA (75 nucleotides) under Candidatus Omnitrophota bacterium. Its description in RNAcentral is "tRNA-Ile". It matches the Rfam family "tRNA". From Rfam's summary of the family: Transfer RNA (tRNA) molecules are approximately 80 nucleotides in length. Their secondary structure includes four short double-helical elements and three loops (D, anti-codon, and T loops). The record is from RNAcentral. Lineage: Bacteria; Pseudomonadati; Candidatus Omnitrophota.
GGGCCCGUAGCUCAGCUUGGUUAGAGCAGGCGACUCAUAAUCGCUUGGUCCCUGGUUCGAAUCCAGGCGGGCCCA